This 497-nucleotide ribosomal RNA is filed under the name uncultured bacterium. Its description in RNAcentral is "partial 16S ribosomal RNA". It matches the Rfam family "Bacterial small subunit ribosomal RNA", at positions 28 to 507 of the family's 1533-position model. The record is from RNAcentral.
GAUGAACGCUGGCGGCGUGCCUAAUACAUGCAAGUCGAGCGAACGGACGAGAAGCUUGCUUUUCUGAUGUUAGCGGCGGACGGGUGAGUAACACGUGGAUAACCUACCUAUAAGACUGGGAUAACUUCGGGAAACCGGAGCUAAUACCGGAUAAUAUUUUGAACCGCAUGGUUCAACGGUGAAAGACGGUCUUGCUGUCACUUAUAGAUGGAUCCGCGCUGCAUUAGCUAGUUGGUAAGGUAACGGCUUACCAAGGCAACGAUGCAUAGCCGACCUGAGAGGGUGAUCGGCCACACUGGAACUGAGACACGGUCCAGACUCCUACGGGAGGCAGCAGUAGGGAAUCUUCCGCAAAGGGCGAAAGCCUGACGGAGCAACGCCGCGUGAGUGAUGAAGGUCUUCGGAUCGUAAAACUCUGUUAUUAGGGAAGAACAUAUGUGUAAGUAACUGUGCACAUCUUGACGGUACCUAAUCAGAAAGCCACGGCUAACUACGUG